AUUGAACGCUGGCGGCAGGCCUAACACAUGCAAGUCGAGCGGAUGAAGGGAGCUUGCUCCUGGAUUCAGCGGCGGACGGGUGAGUAAUGCCUAGGAAUCUGCCUGGUAGUGGGGGAUAACGUCCGGAAACGGGCGCUAAUACCGCAUACGUCCUGAGGGAGAAAGUGGGGGAUCUUCGGACCUCACGCUAUCAGAUGAGCCUAGGUCGGAUUAGCUAGUUGGUGGGGUAAAGGCCUACCAAGGCGACGAUCCGUAACUGGUCUGAGCGGAUGAUCAGUCACACUGGAACUGAGACACGGUCCAGACACCGACUGGAGGCAGCAGUAGGGAAUCUUGCGCAAUGGGCGAGAGCCUGAUGGAGCAACACCGCGUGAGUGAUGAAGGUCUUCUGAUCGUAAAACUCUGUUAUUAGGGAAGAACAAAUGUGUCAGUACCUCUGCCCGACUUGACGGUACCUAAUCAGAAAGCCACGGCUAACUACGUG
This 484-nucleotide ribosomal RNA is filed under the name uncultured bacterium. RNAcentral's name for it is "partial 16S ribosomal RNA". It matches the Rfam family "Bacterial small subunit ribosomal RNA", at positions 30 to 507 of the family's 1533-position model. The record is from RNAcentral.